RNAcentral lists this ribosomal RNA (758 nucleotides) under uncultured eukaryote. RNAcentral describes it as "SSU rRNA". It matches the Rfam family "Eukaryotic small subunit ribosomal RNA", at positions 805 to 1590 of the family's 1831-position model. The record is from RNAcentral.
UAGCAUGGAAUAAUGAAAUAGGACGUGCGGUUCUAUUUUGUUGGUUCUAGGACCGCCGUAAUGAUUAAUAGGGACAGUCGGGGGCAUCAGUAUUCAAUUGUCAGAGGUGAAAUUCUUGGAUUUAUUGAAGACAAACUACUGCGAAAGCAUUUGCCAAGGAUGUUUUCAUUGAUCAAGAACGAAGGAAGGGGGAUCGAAAACGAUUAGAUACCGUUGUAGUCUCUUCUGUAAACUAUGCCAAUUGGGGAUCGGCACAGGAUUUUUAAUGACUGUGUCGGCACCCGAAGAGAAAUCUUUAAAUGAGGUUCGGGGGGGAGUAUGGUCGCAAGGCUGAAACUUAAAGGAAUUGACGGAAGGGCACCACCAGGUGUGGAGCCUGCGGCUUAAUUUGACUCAACACGGGGAAACUCACCAGGUCCAGACAUAACUAGGAUUGACAGAUUGAUAGCUCUUUCAUGAUUUUAUGGGUGGUGGUGCAUGGCCGUUCUUAGUUGGUGGAGUGAUUUGUCUGGUUAAUUCCGAUAACGAACGAGACCUUAACCUGCUAAGUAGCCAGGCCGGCUUUCGCUGGUCGCGGCUUCUUAGAGGGACUGUCAGCUCUAGCUGACGGAAGUUUGAGGCAAUAACAGGUCUGUGAUGCCCUUAGAUGUUCUGGGCCGCACGCGCGCUACACUGACGGAGCCAGCGAGUACUUCCUUGGCCGAAAGGCCCGGGUAAUCUUGUUAAACUCCGUCGUGCUGGGGAUAGAGCAUUGCAAU